AUUGAACGCUGGCGGCAUGCUUUACACAUGCAAGUCGAACGCGGCCGAGGGGUGACUCUUGGCCGAGUGGCGAACGGGUGAGUAAUACAUCGGAACGUGUCCCGUUGUGGGGGAUAACCCAUCGAAAGGUGGGCUAAUACCGCAUACGCCCUGAGGGGGAAAGCGGGGGACCUGAGAGGGCCUCGCGCGAGGGGAGCGGCCGAUGUCGGAUUAGCUUGUUGGUGGGGUAAAAGCCUACCAAGGCGACGAUCCGUAGCUGGUCUGAGAGGACGACCAGCCACACUGGGACUGAGACACGGCCCAAACACCUACGGGUGGCUG
This 321-nucleotide ribosomal RNA is filed under the name uncultured Pseudomonadota bacterium. RNAcentral's name for it is "bacterial SSU rRNA". It matches the Rfam family "Bacterial small subunit ribosomal RNA", at positions 28 to 351 of the family's 1533-position model. Lineage: Bacteria; Pseudomonadati; Pseudomonadota. The record is from RNAcentral.